GAUGAAGAACGUAGCGAAAUGCGAUAAGUAAUGUGAAUGGCAGAAUUCAGUGAAUCAUCGAAUCUUUGAACGCACCUUGCACCCUUUGGACUGCUCCAAAGGGUAUGCUCGUUUGAGUGUCAUUGUACUCUCACACUCUCUGAUCCUUUGGAUUUGGGGAGCAGUGGACUUGGGUGCUUGCUGCUUCCUUGUGGCUCACCUGAAAUGCAUCAGUGCAUCUCUCGAUUGGACAUAGUACGGCGUGAUAAGUGUCUUCGCCGGCACCUCAUAUGAGGGUGGCCGAUCGGGAGCUCUGUGCUUUCAAACCGUCUUCGGACAACGCUGACAACUUGACCUCAAAUCGAGUAGGACUACCCGCUGAACUUAAGCAUAUCAAUAAGCGGAGGA
RNAcentral lists this unclassified non-coding RNA (387 nucleotides) under soil metagenome. RNAcentral's name for it is "partial contains 5.8S ribosomal RNA, internal transcribed spacer 2, and large subunit ribosomal RNA". The stretch from base 1 to 122 matches the Rfam family "5.8S ribosomal RNA", at positions 35 to 154 of the family's 154-position model. The record is from RNAcentral.